Molecule: ribosomal RNA, 496 nt
Filed under: uncultured bacterium
Lineage: Bacteria
Description: partial 16S ribosomal RNA
Rfam family: Bacterial small subunit ribosomal RNA
Source: RNAcentral
GAUGAACGCUGGCGGCGUGCCUAAUACAUGCAAGUCGAGCGAACGGACGAGAAGCUUGCUUCUCUGAUGUUAGCGGCGGACGGGUGAGUAACACGUGGAUAACCUACCUAUAAGACUGGGAUAACUUCGGGAAACCGGAGCUAAUACCGGAUGAUAUUUUGAACCGCAUGGUUCAAAAGUGAAAGACGGUCUUGCUGUCACUUAUAGAUGGAUCCGCGCUGCAUUAGCUAGUUGUUAAGGUAACGGCUUACCAAGGCAACGAUGCAUAGCCGACCUGAGAGGGUAACGGGCCAACCGGAAACGAGGACACGGCCCAGACCCAUACGGGAGGCAGCAGGAGGGAAUCUUCCGAAAGGGGCGAAAGCCUGACGGAGCAACGCCGCGUGAGUGAUGAAGUUCUUCGGAUCGUAAAACUCUUUUAUUAGGGAAAAACAGAUGUGUAAGUAACUGUGCACAUCUGAAGGGUACCUAAUCAGAAGACCACGGUUAACUACGU